UGGGGAAUUUUGGACAAUGGGCGCAAGCCUGAUCCAGCCAUGCCGCGUGCGGGAAGAAGGCCUUCGGGUUGUAAACCGCUUUUGUCAGGGAAGAAACGGUCUGGGCUAAUACCCCGGACUAAUGACGGUACCUGAAGAAUAAGCACCGGCUAACUACGUGCCAGCAGCCGCGGUAAUACGUAGGGUGCAAGCGUUAAUCGGAAUUACUGGGCGUAAAGCGUGCGCAGGCGGUUAUGCAAGGCAGAUGUGAAAUCCCCGGGCUUAACCUGGGAACUGCAUUUGUGACUGCAUAGCUAGAGUACGGUAGAGGGGGAUGGAAUUCCGCGUGUAGCAGAGAAAUGCGUAGAUAUGCGGAGGAACACCGAUGGCGAAGGCAAUCCCCUGGACCUGUGCUGACGCUCAUGCACGAAAGCGUGGGGAGCAAACA
RNAcentral lists this ribosomal RNA (427 nucleotides) under uncultured bacterium. Its description in RNAcentral is "bacterial SSU rRNA". It matches the Rfam family "Bacterial small subunit ribosomal RNA", at positions 355 to 774 of the family's 1533-position model. The record is from RNAcentral.